Molecule: ribosomal RNA, 501 nt
Filed under: uncultured bacterium
Lineage: Bacteria
Description: partial 16S ribosomal RNA
Rfam family: Bacterial small subunit ribosomal RNA
Source: RNAcentral
AUUGAACGCUGGCAGCAGGCUUAACACAUGCAAGUCGAGCGGGGGGAGGUAGCUUGCUACCGGACCUAGCGGCGGACGGGUGAGUAAUGCUUAGGAAUCUGCCUAUUAGUGGGGGACAACAUCUCGAAAGGGAUGCUAAUACCGCAUACGUCCUACGGGAGAAAGCAGGGGAUCUUCGGACCUUGCGCUAAUAGAUGAGCCUAAGUCGGAUUAGCUAGUUGGUGGGGUAAAGGCCUACCAAGGCGACGAUCUGUAGCGGGUCUGAGAGGAUGAUCCGCCACACUGGGACUGAGACACGGCCCAGACUCCUACGGGAGGCAGCAGUGGGGAAUAUUGGACAAUGGGGGGAACCCUGAUCCAGCCAUGCCGCGUGUGUGAAGAAGGCCUUAUGGUUGUAAAGCACUUUAAGCGAGGAGGAGGCUACUCUAGUUAAUACCUAGGGAUAGUGGACGUUACUCGCAGAAUAAGCACCGGCUAACUCUGUGCCAGCCGCCGCGGUAA